RNAcentral lists this long non-coding RNA (1504 nucleotides) under Numida meleagris (helmeted guineafowl). Its description in RNAcentral is "lncRNA (ENSNMEG00000002930.1)". Lineage: Eukaryota; Metazoa; Chordata; Aves; Galliformes; Numididae. The record is from RNAcentral.
GUCUCGAGAUGUUCAGGUGCCACUUUAAGAACACAUGGGGCUCUCCAGAUGUUCAGGUGCCACCUUAAGGACCCCCAGGGGUCUCCAGAUGUUCGGGUGCCAACUUAAGGGCACCCAGUUGGUCUCCAGAUGUUCGGGUACCACCUUAAGGACCCCCAGGGCUCUCCAGAUGUUCAGGUGCCACCUUAAGGAUGCACAGGGCUCUCCAGAUGUUCAGGUGCCACCUUAAGGCCCCCCAGGGCUCUCCAGAUGUUCAGGUGCCACCUUAAGGACACCCAGGAGUCUCCAAAUAUUCAGGGGGUCUCGAGAUGUUCAGGUGCCACCUUAAGGACCCCCAGGGCUCUCCAGAUGUUCAGGUGCCACCUUAAGNGGCCAUCCGUUGGGGUUUGGUGGUCAUCCGUUGGGGUUUGGUGGCCAUCUGUUGGGGUGGCCAUCCACUGGGAGUUUUGGUGGCCAUCUAUUGCGGUUUGGUGGCCAUCCGUUGAGGUUUGGUGGCCUUCUGUUGGGGUUUGGUGGCCAUCUGUUGGGGUUUGGUGGCCGUCCAUUGGGGUUUGGUGGCCAUCUGUUGGGGUGGCCAUCCAUUGGGAGCUCUCUUUGCCAUCUAUUGGGGUUUGGUGGUCAUCUGUUGGGGUUUGGUGGCCAUCUGCUGGGAUGGCCGUCCAUUGGGAGCUCUCUUGGCCAUCCAUGGGGCUUUGGUGGCCAUCCAUUGAGGUUUGGUGGCCAUCUGUUGGGGUGGCCAUCCAUUGGGAGUUCUCUUGGCCAUCCAUUGGGGUUUGGUGGCCAUCCAUUGAGGUUUGGUGGCCAUCUGUUGGGGUGGCCAUCCAUUGGGAGCUCUCUUGGCCAUCCAUGGGAGUUUUGGUGGCCAUCCAUUGGGGUUUGGUGGCCAUCCAUGGGGGUUUGGUGGCCAUCCGUUGGGGUGGCCAUCCAUUGCAAGUUUUGGUGGCCAUCUAUUGGGGUUUGGUGGCCAUCUGUUGGGUUUUGGUGGUCGUCUGUUGGGGUGGCCAUCCAUUGGAAGUUUUGGUGGCCAUCCGUUGGGGUUUGGUGGCCAUCCAUUGGGGUUUGGUGGCCAUCCAUGGGGUUUGGUGGCCAUCCGUUGGGGUUUGGUGGCCAUCCGUUGGGGUUUGGUGGCCAUUCGUUGGGGUUUGGGGCCAUCCAUUGGGGCUUGGUGGUCGUCUGUUGGGGUUUGGUGGCCAUCCAUGGGGAGUUUUGUUGGCCAUCCAUUGAGGUUUGGUCGCCGUUUGUUGGGGUUUGGUGGCCAUCUGUUGGGGUGGCCAUCCAUGGGGAGUUUUGGUGGCCAUCUGUUGGGGUUUGGUGGCCAUCUGUUCAGGUGGCCAUCCAUUGGGAGUUCUCUUGGCCAUCCAUGGUGCUUUGGUGGCCAUUCAUUGGGAGUUUUGGUGGCCAUCCAUGGGGGUUUGGUGGCCAUCCAUGGGGGUUUGGUGGCCAUCCAUGGGGGUUUAGUGGCCAUCUGUUGGGGUGGCCAUCCAUUGAGGUUUGGUGGCCAUCC